Molecule: ribosomal RNA, 305 nt
Filed under: Staphylococcus aureus
Lineage: Bacteria; Bacillati; Bacillota; Bacilli; Caryophanales; Staphylococcaceae
Description: partial 16S ribosomal RNA
Rfam family: Bacterial small subunit ribosomal RNA
Source: RNAcentral
UUUUAUGGAGAGUUUGAUCCUGGCUCAGGAUGAACGCUGGCGGCGUGCCUAAUACAUGCAAGUCGAGCGAACGGACGAGAAGCUUGCUUCUCUGAUGUUAGCGGCGGACGGGUGAGUAACACGUGGAUAACCUACCUAUAAGACUGGGAUAACUUCGGGAAACCGGAGCUAAUACCGGAUAAUAUUUUGAACCGCAUGGUUCAAAAGUAAAAGACGGUCUUGCUGUCACUUAUAGAUGGAUCCGCGCUGCAUUAGCUAGUUGGUAAGGUAACGGCUUACCAAGGCAACGAUGCAUAGCCGACCUG